Molecule: ribosomal RNA, 497 nt
Filed under: uncultured bacterium
Lineage: Bacteria
Description: partial 16S ribosomal RNA
Rfam family: Bacterial small subunit ribosomal RNA
Source: RNAcentral
GAUGGACGCUGGCGGCGUGCCUAAUACAUGCAAGUCGAGCGAACGGACGAGAAGCUUGCUUCUCUGAUGUUAGCGGCGGACGGGUGAGUAACACGUGGAUAACCUACCUAUAAGACUGGGAUAACUUCGGGAAACCGGAGCUAAUACCGGAUAAUAUUUUGAACCGCAUGGUUCAAAAGUGAAAGACGGUCUUGCUGUCACUUAUAGAUGGAUCCGCGCUGCAUUAGCUAGUUGGUAAGGUAACGGCUUACCAAGGCAACGAUGCAUAGCCGACCUGAGAGGGUGAUCGGCCACACUGGAACUGAGACACGGUCCAGACUCCUACGGGAGGCAGCAGUAGGGAAUCUUCCGCAAAGGGCGAAAGCAUGACGGAGCAACGCCGCGUGAGUGAUGAAGGUCUUCGGAUCGUAAAACUCUGUUAUUAGGGAAGAACAUAUGUGUAAGUAACUGUGCACAUCUUGACGGUACCUAAUCAGAAAGCCACGGCUAACUACGUG